AGCUCAGAUAAUUUCUCUGCAUUAGGAAAAUGAAUAAAUUAAAAAGUCGGCUUCAGCAAUUUAGUCCUCAGCAAUUUAGAGAUUCUGCAAGCUCAGUAGAUGUCAAAACCUGCUGAUACCUAACAGAGUCAACUCCAAGUUUGUGUAUCCCGGUCCACUCUACCUUUCCAUCAGGCAGUACAUGUGGAAAUAGAAAAGCAGCUCUCUAAUUAAUCAAAGUCAGAUGUGCCUGAACGCCUGGAGUUGCUGCUGAUCCUUGUCCCAGCUUCUCCCAUGUUCUCGCUCUAUGUUUUUACCUUGAAAACUUCUGCUCUGAGCUGGGAAUGCCUGAAGGGCUUGCACGUGAAGAAGAGGAAAGUGAAAUCAAAUAAGAAGACACAGAGUAAAAGGGAAGGAAAGAUUCUUCAUUGCAGCUCUCCAGCAUGGUGGACUUAAGAGUAAAUAUCACCAUCUCUAGUUUUGCCCAUACGGAGCCUCAGAAUCUUAUUUCAUAAUCAAGGACAGUCUAAAUUGGCCAGAUCUCUCUUACUAUGUCUGUGGUGUUUCUGUUACUUGGACCUUUAUAAAUAUUGUGUAAGUUUGGUAGGAAUGAUUGAACCCAAACCACAAAAUA
This 613-nucleotide long non-coding RNA is filed under the name Capra hircus (goat). RNAcentral describes it as "lncRNA (ENSCHIG00000007431.1)". Lineage: Eukaryota; Metazoa; Chordata; Mammalia; Artiodactyla; Bovidae. The record is from RNAcentral.